CGGGGUGUGGCUCAGCUUGGUAGAGCGUUCGCUUCGGGAGCGAAAGGUCGCAGGUUCAAAUCCUGCUACCCCGACCA
Molecule: transfer RNA, 77 nt
Filed under: Heliorestis convoluta
Lineage: Bacteria; Bacillati; Bacillota; Clostridia; Eubacteriales; Heliobacteriaceae
Description: tRNA-Pro
Rfam family: tRNA
About the family: Transfer RNA (tRNA) molecules are approximately 80 nucleotides in length.
Source: RNAcentral